RNAcentral lists this ribosomal RNA (464 nucleotides) under uncultured bacterium. RNAcentral's name for it is "partial 16S ribosomal RNA". It matches the Rfam family "Bacterial small subunit ribosomal RNA", at positions 29 to 507 of the family's 1533-position model. The record is from RNAcentral.
ACGAACGCUGGCGGCGUGCUUCACCCCUGCCAGUCGAACGGAAAGGCCCUGCUUGCAGGGUACUCGAGUGGCGAACGGGUGAGUAACACGUGGGUGAUCUGCCCUGCACUUCGGGAUAAGCCUGGGAAACUGGGUCUAAUACCGGAUAGGAGCCAUUUUUAGUGUGAUGGUUGGAAAGUUUUUUCGGUGUAGGAUGAGCUCGCGGCCUAUCAGCUUGUUGGUGGGGUAAUGGCCUACCAAGGCGGCGACGGGUAGCCGGCCUGAGAGGGUGGACGGCCACAUUGGGACUGAGAUACGGCCCAGACUCCUACGGGAGGCAGCAGUGGGGAAUAUUGCACAAUGGGCGCAAGCCUGAUGCAGCGACGCCGCGUGGGGGAUGACGGCCUUCGGGUUGUAAACGCCUUUCGCUAGGGACGAAGCUUUUUGUGACGGUACCUAGAUAAGAAGCACCGGCUAACUACGUG